Molecule: long non-coding RNA, 4430 nt
Organism: Gavialis gangeticus (Gharial)
Lineage: Eukaryota; Metazoa; Chordata; Crocodylia; Gavialidae
Exons: 3
Source: RefSeq, a predicted model, not a curated record
GCCCUGCCUUUGUCAAUAUUUUGUCCAGCUACUGAACAGGACUCAGCAAUAUAACAUAUUCAUCAGAGGGCUAGAAGAGAGAGAGAGAGAGAGGGAUGAGGUCCAGAAUUUAUUUGCUGAAUCUUGAAAUGCAAGCCAUUCAAAGCAUUAAUUUGGGAGCGAGGCAGAAUGAGCAAACAUUAUGAGAGACAAAGCCUGCUUUUUAAUACACACUAGGCCACUUUCAUCCCUGACAUGACUCCACAGAACUCUAAAGAUUGCAAAGAAGACACAGCAAUAUGGGCCAGGAACCAGCCCCUAACAGGAUUCCUGUAGUUUUUGCAUUAAGGACCCUGGCCCCACAUCUUUACCCCUAUGGCCACCUGUGCUAGCUGGAUUAAGGUUAAUCCACAAUCACACCUUCAUUUUGUGAAGACACUGGCUUUUCAGUAAGAGGGAGGGAUGACAAUGCCUUUCUUUAAAGGUCCUGUAAAACCACUCUUCCAAAGAAUUAAAUAGGAGGAAGUGCUGCCUUUCUCAACAGGUUUUUGUUCUUUUCCUUUAAAUGGAGAGAAGCAGUGCUCCCAUAAGAUUUUUUUCCUGUUGUGUGUAUCUCUGUGAAAGUGUGUGCAUGUGUUUGUUGUGCUGAUGCACAGCAGAGCUGACAGACAGCUGUUUGUGGCUAUAAUCUGGUCAAAUGGAGUUCUUUAAUUGACAGCACGCAAAGUCUCAUGUGUGGGGUGAUUGUGACACCAACAGCUUCAUUCAUAAAAAGAUUGGUCCUGCUUUGCCAUUCCUUUUCUCCAUCACCAACUGGCCUUCUCUUCCCUGCUUUUUUCCUGCUUCCCCUCUCUCUCCGCAGUACUGAUAAGCUUCUUUCGCUAGCCCUUUCUUCUCUUUUGGCAGGAGUCCGGAUGUAUGGUUCUGUAGUAAGUGUUGGGAAUGCUGGAAAACUGGACAGCUUUUCAUCAUGCCCACUCUAGAAGACGACACAAGAACCAUUUUAGUGGUCAUCAUAUUAUGACUUCAUGUGAUUUUGCACUACUCAGGGCCUUCCAAGGUUAGAAACACAGGCUAUAUUCCCAUUAGGAAGAAAAGAUUGAUAGCUUUCCAAAAGCAAAAAGAUCCCUUAGUCCCGAUGGCUCAAAAUAUAUUAGAGCUGGUCAAAAAAUUACCCUGAAACUUCUCCCCUCCCCCUCAUUUUUUUUACUUUUAAAAGCUUUCCAUUCUCUGUGUGCCUAGACACACACAGAGGGACUAGCUGUGCGAUAAGUUGUGGAGCAGUGUAACAUAUUUAAUGUAUCUUGCAUCUCGAAUUUUCUCACAUGCCUGUUAAUCCUGUUCAGCUGGGGUUACUUCUAAAUCUCUGGACCCACAAGCAAUUUCAGAGUCACCGCUUGAAAGAAAGAGGCCAGUUCUGUUUUCAUCCCUCAGAUGAAUCUUGUCUAGAUGGAGUAUAUGUGCGUGUGUGUCCAGCAGGGGGAGUUAGUUUAUCCCUUUUUAAAAAUGAACUGGGGCUGCGUGCAAAGAGCACUGCAAGCUCGAAUCCCACAAAAUUUUUCUGUCAAACUUGUCAUUUUUCAAGUGAGUUGUAUGCUCAGACUAGUUUCAUCUACUGUUCCAAUUGUACUAGGUAGGAGAAUGUCAGUCCCUUCUGGCCAGUGCAUUGGAUAAAAACCUUUGGGUUAAGAGAAGGAGAAUUUCAUUUCCCAUUUCCUUUCAAAAUAUGAAGAAAGGGUUUCUUCCACUGUGCUGAGUCCUCGGAAUUAGGAAAAAAACACCCCAUACUGGCUCAGCAGCUGGCUGGCAUAAAAGAGGCGUCAUAUUCUCAGUAUUAAAUAUUUCUUUUUUAUUAAAUUAAUAUACAAGCGAGCAGUAUAGAGAUUCCUUCUACAUCUUAACCACACUUAGAGGGACUUAAGUUAUUAAUGCCAAAUAUAAUAAAAAUGUAUUCUAAUCUUGGUCAUGUUUCUGGUUCUCAUUUACUGUCUGCCAUCUUAUAUUUCUCUGCCUCUUUCUCUUUCCAGUUCCUCUGUUUAUAUUAUGAUUCUUGCUUGUGUCUCUCUGUCUCCAGACUUCCUCAGACCCCAUCCUUUUCUAAGAUUUCCUUUACUCUCUCUAUCCACCAGUUAGUUUCCUUUAAUUUUUUCCCCUUCUGUAUUUCUUCACUUUCAGUCUUUUAUUAAUGUUUUGAGAUAUAUAUAUAUUUGGUGGGAGAGGAGCCCUUAUUCCCUUUUCUCUGAUUUUCUUUAAUCUUUUCUUCCCUGGGGCCUGUUUCAUAUUCUGCUGAAAGCUGUGAGCAUCUUUUGCUGGACUCCAGUGGGGAAUGUGUCCAGAGGUGGUAUCGCCCUUCCUUUGGCUCCCUGAGCAGCAGUCAAAUAACUUGAAAUUUGUUUCUUCAAGAAAAAUAAGAGGCACAACUCCAUGCUGUACCUAGUCACAAUCAAGGACAGACAGUCCUAGUGCUCUGGAUCAAAUUCAGUCCAGACCGGAUAGACUAAAAAUCAUUCCCAUCUGACGUCCAGGAAGGGUCAGAAGUUAAAGGAGUACUGGCAGUCGUGAGCCAGUUCCCAGCUUGCGGAUGUAUCUAACAAUGUGUGCAUGUGGUAAUGUAACUUGAAGUUGGGGAGAAGAACGCCAGCCCUGGACACCAAUUUAGUGGGGGUUCCAGAAGGGUGCCCGCAAGGAGUCUGUGUCCCAGCAGCAGCUCUACCUCAGCAACAACUGGGGUGGGAAGACCACUCUGUGGCAGCAGCAUCUGGGCACUUUUUUUGAGCCCUCAGGAGCAGAUAAAGCUUUCUUCUUUCUGGCACUUGCAAGCACCCCUGCACUCCCACCUUGACAUCCGAUCCUGAAUAUCCUGCUUGUUAUGCCCCUCUGUGUGUAAGUGUGCCUACAUGCACGUGUGCUUGGCCAAUCUGCUCUCUUUCUUCCCUAUCAUACAUGGGGUCAUUCUUCAACAUGUUUGAUUUCCUUUACUUUCUUUUGAAGUCAGUGGAUGCUCUGCACCUAGUGGGAUUAGAUCCAUGUACCUCUUAUGGUAAAUCCAUGUGGUAAUAUACCCACUUAUCGGUUAUAACUGAAGAGAAGGAACAGGUUAGGCAUAGGAGCAGGCCUUAUUGUAACCAAUUUGUCUUUUGGCCUAGAGAAAUAGCUGCAUCAGAUGAAAAUCUAUCCAAUAUGUUGUAUUAACAUUUACAUCCAAUACCAAAGUCUUUGGAUGCAUUGUUUUGUUGUGUGGGGGAAAGUUACCGAGAUAGUCCAUCUUGAAAACCCAAAACAGAUAACACUGGUCAGUGAAACAUUAGAUUCCUGCAGAAUACACACUACAUUUACUCUGUCUUCCAGACCCCUCUGCUCAAUAAAGAAGAAGUAAAGUCUACAAUAUACCUGGCUGCUCCUGUUCAUUUUUCAGGGCCUUUGGCAGCAUCACAGGCAGAACCAUUAGUAAACUGCCAUGCAUUCUGCCAUUUAUAAUGUCUUAGGAAAGGGGAAAAAAAUUCAAGGAAAUGUUCCAUUUGCUUGUUAGUUUCUGCCAUUGGCUCAAAGUGUCAUAGUGAUAUUGGGACCACCCUUCUGCCUUCAGAUCCUGCAGAAAAAAAAUCUGGCAAAAUAAGUUUCUUGCUUUGGUCUUUCAUCUUGAACAAAUGGGUUUUGUUAAAAACAGAUUUAGUUUGUGUUCAGCAAGGGAGUGAUGGAUAAAUCUUCUUGUAAAUUAUCUUCCAAUUCCAGUAGCAGAGCUCACUCCUGUGAUGCCUCAGUAAGGUUUUUUUUUUACUAUACUGCAUAGAUACUACCCUUUUUUUUUUUUUGGUAAAUGUUUUCAUAUGGUCUUGUUUUAGGCUGUAUUUAAGGAGUGGUUAUAGAUUAUUAUAUAAUAAAUCUGAGAUCUGAAGGUUAUGCUCAUAGAAUUUUAUUUGCUUUGCUGAUGCUGUAUAGAUUGUGUCUGCCUUUCUGGUUCUGACUCUGUAACACUAGGACUAGAGUUUGUGGAAAGGUCUAUUAGGAGUCUGCAGUCGCAUAACUGUGGGCAGACGGCCAGGGCCACGAGCCCUGGCUGCCAACUUGUGGGAGGGUUGGUACAGGAACAGAGCAGCCACUGCUGCCACCCAGGGUGCAGAACCUUUUUGCCACAGCUACAGUCUGAUGUUAAGGGGAUAAAGCCAAGAGUAACCACAAUCCAGUUCCACUAGUAGGCCCUAAAAAGGGGGUGGUGUUCUAAGUUAGUCAUCUCAAGACAAACAUUGAGGAGCUGACGUGUGACGCAUGUGAACAGGUUGGAAGAUUUGGGGUUAUUUAGUCAAGAGAAAAAAGACCAAGGGAAGAUUUAUCUAUCUUUAAAUACAAAAAGGCUGUUUCUAAGAAGGAUGGUGAUUCUCUGUGUCCGCAGCAAACAGCACAAGAAGUAAUAGGCUUUAAUUGCCACAAGGGGCAUUUAGAGAGGGCAUUGG